Molecule: microRNA, 24 nt
Filed under: Blattella germanica (German cockroach)
Lineage: Eukaryota; Metazoa; Arthropoda; Insecta; Blattodea; Blattellidae
Description: Bge-Mir-1175_5p (mature (co-guide))
Source: RNAcentral
AAGUGGAGAAGUGGUCUCUUCACU